UACGGAGGGUGCGAGCGUUAUCCGGAAUCACUGGGUUUAAAGGGUGCGUAGGCGGCUCGGUAAGUCAGUUGUGAAAGCCCCUUGCUUAACGAGGGAGGUGCGAUUGAUACUGUCGAGCUUGAAUCGGGAUGAGGCAGGCGGAAUGUGGCAUGUAGCGGUGAAAUGCAUAGAGAUGCCAUAGAACACCGAUUGCGAAGGCAGCCUGCUGGGCCUGUAUUGACGAUGAGGCACGAAAGAGUGGGGAGCAAACAGG
Molecule: ribosomal RNA, 253 nt
Filed under: uncultured bacterium
Lineage: Bacteria
Description: partial 16S ribosomal RNA
Rfam family: Bacterial small subunit ribosomal RNA
Source: RNAcentral